RNAcentral lists this ribosomal RNA (253 nucleotides) under uncultured bacterium. Its description in RNAcentral is "partial 16S ribosomal RNA". It matches the Rfam family "Bacterial small subunit ribosomal RNA", at positions 524 to 776 of the family's 1533-position model. The record is from RNAcentral.
GACGUAGGGCGCGAGCGUUGUCCGGAAUUAUUGGGCGUAAAGAGCUCGUAGGCGGCCUGUUGCGUCCGCUGUGAAAGCCCGGGGCUUAACCCCGGGUCGGCAGUGGAUACGGGCAGGCUAGAGGUAGGUAGGGGAGAAUGGGAUUCCCGGUGUAGCGGUGAAAUGCGCAGAUAUCGGGAGGAACACCGGUGGCGAAGGCGGUUCUCUGGGCCUUACCUGACGCUGAGGAGCGAAAGCGUGGGGAGCGAACAGG